Molecule: ribosomal RNA, 371 nt
Filed under: uncultured bacterium
Lineage: Bacteria
Description: bacterial SSU rRNA
Rfam family: Bacterial small subunit ribosomal RNA
Source: RNAcentral
ACGUAGGGGGCCAGCGUUGCUCGGAAUUACUGGGCGUAAAGGGUCCGUAGGCGGUGUAGCAAGUCGAUAGUGAAAUCUCUGGGCUUAACCCAGAGGCUGCUAACGAAACUGCUGUGCUAGAGUGUGAGAGAGGCGAGUGGAAUUACGGGUGUAGCGGUGAAAUGCGUAGAUAUCCGUAGGAACAUCCGAGGCGAAGGCGGCUCGCUGGAUCACAACUGACGCUGAGGGACGAAAGCUAGGGGAGCAAACAGGAUUAGAUACCCUGGUAGUCCUAGCCCUAAACCAUCAGGACUUGGGGUUUGCCCUGUACGGGGCAAGUCCCGUAGCUAACGCGUUAAGUCCUGCGCCUGGGGAGUACGGUCGCAAGGCUG